This is a long non-coding RNA of Magnolia sinica, 463 nucleotides long. RefSeq lists it as uncharacterized. NCBI's taxonomy places the organism in Eukaryota, Viridiplantae, Streptophyta, Magnoliopsida, Magnoliales, Magnoliaceae. The transcript has 2 exons. The record is from RefSeq and is a predicted model, not a curated record.
AGCAAACCUCCAUAACCUUACUUAAAGAACAGAGAGUGUCAAGGAGCAUGGCAGUUAAAUGCAAUACAUACUGCCCAUUCAUUGUUUCCAAUAUGUGGCCAGCUGAUCUACUCGAACCAGCUUGGAUUUCCUAUCAUUAUUAAAUCUGGCUCAAUCUGCAUCCUUUGACCUCUAAUAAAAAAAAUGUUGCUUUUGGUUGAGACAAUAUACCCUCGCUCAAGGACAGCUUAAUAGGUGAAGGCUUUUUAUAAGAUGACACUCGUUUGGGAGGAAUUAUAGGAUCCUCGCCAAGAGGCUUUGCACACCAUGCUCAGAUUUUCAGUUCUGACAAGUUGGGGCCCAUGGUUUGGUUUGGUAAUCCAGAUUCCGGACCAUUAGUUUGUUGCAUCCUACCAUGGAUGAAUGCAUGUUCUCAAAAUCUCCAGAUCGGAAGAUCCUAGCCACCAAUCUUGGGAUUUUUUUU